UGCAGCGUGAAGAACGUGUAAUAAUGCGAUCAACGAAGCCAAAGGAAAUUACAUUAGACCGAAUGAAAAGAUCGUGAAGCGGUUUAACUAGCAGUUUCCGAGCGUAUAAUGAAAAAUUUGAUGGUAAUUUCAUCAGCGAACCAACCAUAAAAAUGAGUACGCUCGAACACACUGAUCGCUUUAAUCCCACGAUAAUGAAUAAGGAUGCACGAAACGAGGACACAUCCAUGUAUCGCAUUGAUUUACGUUAAAGGAAGCUGAUGGUCCCGCGGCAUCGGAAGCAUAACGAAAAAAAGGGGCGAGAAGAGGCGUCGUCUCUCGUUGCGUUCGCGGCAAACAGCCCAUAAGCGGACAUACCAAUUUCACAUCUCGUCUCGAAUGAGAUGGUAGGGGGAUGAUACGAAUGCAUAUACAGAAUGCAUAUGAUGUCAUGGACUGUUUCGUUCGGUUUACUCAUGGCAAGGGUAAAGUCUCUUCGCGGACAAUUCUUAAUAGCGCGAUAAAUAUUCGAGAGUGUUGGUAAGAACCACGGAGAUACGAGUACGUAGCCAACCGUACGCGUACGUAAGUAGACGACAGAUCGCGUUUCUUCGUAUACGACCAUGACACUAAAUUACAGACUUAUACAGUGGUUGUCAAUCUGCAUUUACAAGUAAGAUCGUACCAUAUACGCGCGACGCGACGCAAUUAAUCAUCUUUUUCGUGUACUUGAGAAACCAGACUGCCCAGACCCAAUUCAAAGCGUCAUUGUCAUGCCGAGUGAAAAGGGAACCCAGAAUUAGGACACUUGGUGCAAACACGGUGAGAAGCAAAUAGUAAACACGGUACAUAAUUGAUCGAAAAGUGUGCAUGACGUUGAUUAAUCGUACACCUUUGUGCUGCAGAAAUAUGUAUCAAGGCAGAUUUCGUUGUCACAAAAGGUGACAGUCACCUGCGACGGUGUUGAUAUCAGUAGAAAUGUAAUUACGAUCUUGAUAUUAAUUUCGCGACGAAUUGAAUCAUGGUCAGGGAUGAAUUGGUGCAUGACAGCCGAUACGAUGUAAUUUCGUUCGAUGGUUCAGGCAUAAGAUGAGACCAUAUGAUACGGAAAACUGUCGGGAGCUAUCGAUAACCGCGCGCGGAGCAGACCACAGGCGGCAUUGGCACGCACGUAAGGGACCCCUUAUCUCGGGAACAGAAACUACGGGGUCAAUACGCCACCGCUUUGUAAUCAGCCGCGUACCAUGCACGCUUAAACGGAUAAUCAUAUUGACCGCUCGCUAAUAUUAACAUUUUUCGGAAAGCUAUUGCAAGGAAUCGGCCUGCUAGCCUACAUAUUGCUCGAGUGCCCUCACACGCGAGCUCUAUCUUCUUCGCAUAGAGUUUUAUCGAGAUCAACGGAACAACGGGGAUCGUGCUUAUACAAGGACGCAUCCACGCGGACGGAUACACAUAUACUCGUAUAUCUCUCUAGCGUUGCAGAUGCGGUUACCAGAGAGAGAGUAUUGAUGAAACAAUAGAAAGUACAUGAACGCGGUACUGAAAGAACAGACCAUAUCGCGAUCCACAUACGCUCGGAAUGCGAAUGGUAGAAGUAAAUGCGAUGAAAAUCGAUCACAAUUGUCGCAUGAAUGCACCCUUAUAUUCGAGGCACGAUGUAAUAGAAGAUAUAUGCAUAAGCACGAUAGAUUACCGUUUAAAUAUGAAUGACUCCGUUUCUAUUUUCGCUUUUUUUUUUUUUUAAAGAAUAAUUAAUUGCGUUAAUUGAUCGAUACUUCCGUACACGUUAAGCUCUUCAAAGGAAAUGCUACUCUUAUAUAUGAGGAAAUCGGAUCAUGUGUAGAGCCCCUGUAAAGCGGCAACCGUCAUUACACCGCUGUCGGUUGUAUGGUAGCAUCAUUAGCGUUGUUUCUGUACGAAUCAAAUUUCAAGAAACUAGAAGACUGUAGAAAUUGCGCUUUCUGGAAGACAGAUCAAAGACGACCCACGUCCGAUUUCAUGUACCAUGCACAAAGGCAUCUGUAUUACAUCGGAUCAAAGGGAGAAAAGAAUUUACUUUACGUUCUUCGCUUAACUUAUAUUUUCCUAGUAGCGUUUCUACACAACAUAUCGAUCAUCGUCUUGAGGGAAGAUGACAGUGGUUCCUCGAUCACUGUCCAAUUGAGGUGUAGUGGCGCUAAUCGUCUGGAGGUAUGGAAUGAGAUAACGCAUUGUUUUCCGACGAAACCGAACGAACGUUUGGCACACAUUCGGUAACGGCGGGACGCCGUUGCACCGACGGCGGUUCGCACCUCACAGAUACAUCGCGACGUCUGACGUUCCCGCGCCCAUUGCCGUCGAGACAACGUCGUCAUGACGACCGCGCAUAACAACCUUCGCCCAUGCGCAUAUCGUUUCUAUUACGUAGAUUAUAAACGCGGCAAUAUACGGACCAGGAAUGAUUUUUGAUAAGAUAUAACCAAUAAAAACGGAACAUGUUUCUAUUCAACAUGUUAAUUGAGUUGACUUUGAGCUGAUUCAAACUGAGUUUGAGCAAUUUCAUAAAUGAUUAUGAAUAUUAUACUUAUAAUAUUAAGUACUUCAUGUGUUAUCAUUUGUUCAUAUGUUCAGUUUGCAAUAUAAUGCUAUAUCAUAAUAUAGAAUAAAAGAUAUAGUUUUGUAACGAUGGGAUAUAAUUGUUGCAACUCACAAAAGUCACUGUUCUUUUGUUCUGCUUGUAAAGACAAAUCAAUAAGAUCACGGUAUAUUACAUUAUAAUUAUAUUUGUUUUACUUCUCCCUUCUAUAUUUUAUCAUAACACAUUCAUGAACAAAUCAACAUACAUAUUUAACCUCCUGAAAUUAUAAUGUUCUGAAAAAAAUCUGUGUUCAAAUACUAUAUGUCCUAUAUUUCUAAAGAAUAUUUCUCUACUCGAAGAAUAUGUAUCCAAGCCAGAAAUAAAAGAUUCAGUGCAUUUAGGAUACAUUCUAAAGAUAAUCAUGGCAUUUAAUCAUAUUAUUUUCAUUUAAUAAAUUAGACUAAUCUUUUCUAAAUAUUCAACAAACUGGACAUAUUGUAGGAUUGGAUAAUACGUCCUUUUUAACUUGUCAAAUUAUUAAACACUAGAGAAUAUUUCUCUUCAAAUAUUUCCAUUGACUAACAUCUAUAUUAAUAAGAUUUGUUGUAACAAUGUAUUAUACAUAAAAUAUAAUUCUGUUUUAUAAAUCAAAAAUGACAAACUAUGUUACAAAAGUAUUAAGCGUUAUAUAUCAUUAUUCUAU
Molecule: long non-coding RNA, 3239 nt
Organism: Bombus pyrosoma
Lineage: Eukaryota; Metazoa; Arthropoda; Insecta; Hymenoptera; Apidae
Exons: 4
Source: RefSeq, a predicted model, not a curated record